Molecule: unclassified non-coding RNA, 253 nt
Filed under: uncultured Eubacteriales bacterium
Lineage: Bacteria; Bacillati; Bacillota; Clostridia; Eubacteriales
Description: contains 16S-23S intergenic spacer region
Rfam family: Bacterial small subunit ribosomal RNA
Source: RNAcentral
UACGUAGGGGGCAAGCGUUGUCCGGAUUUAUUGGGCGUAAAGGGCGUGUAGGCGGCCUUGUAAGUCAGAGGUGAAAACCCAGGGCUCAACCCUGGGAGUGCCUCUGAAACUGUGAGGCUUGAGUGCUCUAGAGGGCAGUGGAAUUCCCGGUGUAGCAGUGAAAUGCGUAGAGAUCGGGAGGAACACCAGUGGCGAAGGCGACUGCCUGGGGAGUAACUGACGCUGAGGCGCGAAAGCUGGGGGAGCAAACGGG